RNAcentral lists this small RNA (1672 nucleotides) under Pongo abelii (Sumatran orangutan). Its description in RNAcentral is "retained intron". The record is from RNAcentral. Lineage: Eukaryota; Metazoa; Chordata; Mammalia; Primates; Hominidae.
CCAGGCUGGAGUGCAGUGGCGUGAUCUUGGCUCACUGCAACCUCUGCCUCCCAGGUUCAAGUGAUUCUCCUACCUCAGCCUCCUGAGUAGCUGGGACUACAGCAGCCCGACACCACACCCUGCUAAUUUUUGUAUUUUUAUUAGAGACAGGGUUUUGCCGUGUUGGUCAGGCUGGUCUCAAACUCCUGACCUCAGGUGUUCCGCCCACCUUGGCCUCCCAAAGUGCUGGGAUUCCAGGCAUGAGCCACCGCGCCCGGCCAGAUAGAUCCCUUUUUAUGCACCCCAAGGCCAUUACAGGCUUCCUGUUCUGGUGCAUCCCCAAGUGCUGACAGACAUCUUCAGAGACGAUAAGGAUUUCGAUUUCAUCUCUCAAAUCUCAUUCCGCGUGUGACAACCCUGGCUCUGUGAUUUUUAAGGGCACCUGUCGAUUAUCUCCGGUGUUUCUGUUGUCUCUAACAAUAGCAUGGAUGUGUUUUUCUUUCUCCAGACUAACAAGGGGGAUGAACUCUCCAACCGGAUCCAGAACACUUUAGGCAAUUAUGAUGAAAUGAAAGACUUUUUAACUGAUAGAUCCAAUCAGAGUCAUCUCGUUGGAGUUCCCAAACCUGGGGUUCCUCAGACUCCUGUGAACAAGAUCGAUGAACAUUUUGUUGCAGAUUCAAGAGCCCAGACCCAGCCUUCAUCUAUCUGUAGCACUACAACUUCCACACCAGCAGCUGUCCCCGUGCAGCAGAGUAAGAGAGGCACUAUGGGCUGGCAGAAGGCUGGGCACCCACCCUCCGACGGCCAACAGAGAGCAACACAGCAGGGCUCUCUCAGGACCUUGCUUGGAGAUGGUGUUGGCAGACAGCAGCCGCGGGCCAAACAAGUGUGCAAUGUGGAGGUGGGCCUUCAGACCCAGGAGAGGCCACCUGCCAUGGCGGCCAAGCACAGCAGCAGCGGACACUGUGUUCAGAACUUUCCUCCAUCCCUAGCUUCAAAACCCAGCCUGGUCCAGCAGAAACCGACCGCGUACGUGCGGCCAAUGGACGGCCAAGAUCAGGCCCCUGAUGAAUCUCCUAAGCUGAAGUCGUCUUCGGAAACUAGCGUGCACUGCACAUCAUACAGGGGAGUCCCUGCCAGCAAGCCGGAGCCUGCCAGAGCCAAGGCCAAGCUCUCCAAGUUCAGCAUCCCCAAGCAGGGGGAGGUGAGUCUUUAUCAGCACCAUUCACGUGCAACUGCGUAGUUACAAGUGACAAUUUGACCCUUGUGAAUUCAGUUUCCAUGUUUCUUUUUUUUUUCAGUGAUGUGGUUGAUUUCAUGUGGUAGGAUUUGUGGCAGUCACUAAAAGGGGAGGCAGACUUAAAUAAUGAUUUCUUAAAAUCUCAAAUUUAUUAUAAUUUGAAUUUUUAGAGUUCCAGCAAAUGCAGUUGUGUGUGUAUGUAUUAAUGAGGAAAGGAAUGUCCACUUCAGUAUAGUUUGAGGAUUUUCUUCUGAACAGCUAGUGUUCACUGAGGUAUAAAUAAAAUUAAGAAAUAAGUGAAUAAGUGAUUCAGAAGUAAGAAAAGCACUUAAAAGCUAUAAUUUCAGUGUCUGUUUACCUAUUUAAGGUAAAUUUUUAUGUAAAAGAGUUCCAAAACUCUUUUAACAUUUUUGUGUUUUGAAAUAUUUUAACACAAACUUUACCAAAUAA